UUAGUUUGGCAGCCUCUUCUC
This 21-nucleotide microRNA is filed under the name Populus trichocarpa (black cottonwood). Its description in RNAcentral is "ptc-miR6457b". Lineage: Eukaryota; Viridiplantae; Streptophyta; Magnoliopsida; Malpighiales; Salicaceae. The record is from miRBase by way of RNAcentral.